RNA transcript from Lolium perenne, 1783 nucleotides. It is a transcript of the gene named 18S rRNA (guanine-N(7))-methyltransferase RID2, with no coding region annotated. Lineage: Eukaryota; Viridiplantae; Streptophyta; Magnoliopsida; Poales; Poaceae. The record is from RefSeq and is a predicted model, not a curated record.
GCAGCGUGGGUAGCGGUACCCGAGAGAAACCCUCGCAGCAGCGGCGGCGGCGCAGGAGCACACGAGCGAGCGAGCUCAUCGGCGGCGGCGGCGGCGCGAAGGGAGAAGCGGAGGCGAGAUGCCGCGGCCGGAGGUGCAGGCGCCGCCGGAGAUAUUCUACAACGAGUCGGAGGCGCGCAAGUACACCACCUCGUCCCGCAUCAUCGAAAUCCAGGCGAGGAUUUCCGAGAGGGCGCUGGAGCUGCUCGCCCUCCCCAACGAUGGCGUCCCCAGGAUGCUCCUCGACAUCGGGUGCGGCUCUGGACUGAGCGGGGAGACGUUGACGGAACAUGGCCACCACUGGAUUGGCUGCGAUAUUUCAGAGUCCAUGCUUGACGUUGCUCUAGAGCGGGAAGCAGAGGGUGACCUCCUACUCGCAGACAUGGGCGAGGGCUUAGGCCUGCGCCCAGGAGUUAUUGAUGGUGCAAUCAGUAUCUCAGCAGUCCAGUGGUUGUGCAAUGCCGACAAGUCAUCUCAUGAACCAAGAUUGCGGUUAAAGGCUUUCUUUGGAUCACUAUAUAGAUGCCUAGCAAGGGGAGCAAGAGCCGUUCUACAAUUCUAUGCUGAUAAUGUGAAGCAAACUGAAAUGCUCGUGUCUUUUGCCAUGAAUGCUGGUUUUGCUGGUGGAGUGGUUAUUGACUGGCCUCAUAGUUCGAAAGCAAAGAAAUCCUACCUUGUCCUCACUUGUGGUUCACCUUCUGUUGCCACAUCUCUCCCAAAGGCGAAAGGUCAAGAUGGUGAGAUGUGCAGCAGUGAUGAUGAUGAGGACGCUGACGAUGAGAGCAAUGAUGACCGAACAGUAAGCUCGCUCUUAACAAGACAAUUUUCUGUUUUAUACAUUUUGAACUUAUUUACUGCUCUUAAUCCCUAUCCUUUGUCUGCUGCUUUAUUCCAUGGUGGGCCAUGGCGCGGCACGAGUAUGCAAGCAGGGCAGAGGCAGCGGCAGAACGAACAGAAGGCAGCUCGAUAAUCAGGGGAUAGCUGCAGGACGCUGAGGCUCGGCUGCGCGUGGAGACGGCCGCUGGCCUCGUAUCAAGACAAGGUUUGUGGGAGCCUGGUUUUGAGAAAGAGUAUGAAAAUAGGAUCUGGGUAAUGAAGAACUGGUCAGCAACCAGUACAAGGAUACGAUCUGUGACGAUUUCCAAUAUAUCGAGGUGCGCUUGCAGGACAUGCUCUCCUCGUAUGACAAUACCGUUUCGUUCAAUCUCCUUGCCUCCACAAUGGGAAGAUCAACCCAUCGACGACAAGGGACCUAAAGAAGAGUGUGAGUGGCUUGAGGGUUUCAGGUGGAGCACGAAACGCGAGGACGAAGGUAGGCUGGAGUACCACGCGAGGCAGCGGGUCCAGCUAAGCAGCAGACCGAACGCGGCACCAACAAACGCUACACCAUAACAUCUUUUCACAAAAAUAAAAAUUAGCCCGUUGAAACGCACAGUUUGGUAUUGUAUGUUCAAAGGCUGGAUCUGGGCAGGAGAAGAAACUUGACCGACUAAAACAAGAAGACUCAGACCUACACGAUUGUUGUGUCGUUAAAUACGUACCUGCGCUCCCUAACCUGAGGCCCCAUUGGUUCGGAUACGUGCGAAGCAUCCUCCCUGACAACGUCUCUACGUUCGACAUGAUGAUGAAGGGUCGUCAAUUGUGUAUCGAAGCCGCGAUGCGAAGUUCAUCUAAGAUUUGCUUCUUUUUAUGAAUAAAUUAUGGAUCAUUGUUGGAUUUUUAUUAACCAUUGUUUUUAGUCACA